This 445-nucleotide ribosomal RNA is filed under the name uncultured bacterium. Its description in RNAcentral is "partial 16S ribosomal RNA". It matches the Rfam family "Bacterial small subunit ribosomal RNA", at positions 354 to 796 of the family's 1533-position model. The record is from RNAcentral.
GUAGGGAAUAUUGGGCAAUGGAGGCAACUCUGACCCAGCCAUGCCGCGUGCAGGAUGACGGCCCUCUGGGUUGUAAACUGCUUUUAUACGGGAAGAAAAAAUACUACGUGUAGUAUACUGACGGUACCGUAAGAAUAAGGAUCGGCUAACUCCGUGCCAGCAGCCGCGGUAAUACGGAGGAUCCAAGCGUUGUCCGGAUUUAUUGGGUUUAAAGGGUGCGUAGGCGGAUCUUUACGUCAGUGGUGAAAGCCUGCAGCUUAACUGUAGAAUUGCCAUUGAAACUGAAGAUCAUGAAUGUGGUUAAAGUAGGCGGAAUGUAGCAUGUAGCGGUGAAAUGCUUAGAUAUGAUACAGAACACCGAUAGCGAAGGCAGCUUGCUGAACCAUUAUUGACGCUGAGGCACGAAAGCGUGGGGAGCGAACAGGAUUAGAUACCCUAGUAGUCC